UGAGGGAAUAUUGGGUCAAUGGACGCAAGUCUGAACCAGCCAUGCCGCGUGAAGGAAUAAGGCCCUAUGGGUCGUAAACUUCUUUUGUAUGUGAGCAAUAAGGUCCACGUGUGGACCGAUGAGAGUAGCAUACGAAUAAGCAUCGGCUAACUCCGUGCCAGCAGCCACGGUAAUACGGAGGAUGCAAGCGUUAUCCGGAUUCAUUGGGUUUAAAGGGUGCGUAGGCGGAUUAUUAAGUCAGCGGUGAAAGCGUGUGGCUCAACCAUACAGUUGCCGUUGAUACUGGUAGUCUUGAGUGUAAACGAGGUAGGCGGAAUGUGAUGUGUAGCGGUGAAAUGCUUAGAUAUGUCACAGAACCCCGAUUGCGAAGGCAGCUUACCAGGAUACGACUGACGCUGAGGCACGAAAGCGUGGG
Molecule: ribosomal RNA, 415 nt
Filed under: uncultured bacterium
Lineage: Bacteria
Description: bacterial SSU rRNA
Rfam family: Bacterial small subunit ribosomal RNA
Source: RNAcentral